GAUAGACCUGGAGAGCAUUUUCAAAAAAUCCUAAUUAACAGGGACGAACUAUCAUCUAAUGGGGCGAAUUGGUACCUUCUGAAACAUAAGUCAUGGUUUCUCUUCCCUUUCUCAAUUUAACCCUUGCUAAAAUUUUACAGAGCAUGCUGAAAGAAGUUUGGUCAAUUAUGUCUUUGUAACCCUCUAAAGACGGCUUGAAAGUGCUAUUUGUUUGGAAAAAAAUGUAGUAUAAUCACGAAUUUAGAUUGCUAAUCAGACAAAACACAACACCUUUGACUGAAGUGAAGGGGCUCCUGUUGGGAUCAUGGAAAUUAUGUUGGUGUUAUUGAAGGAGAACACUAUUGAGACAAAUACAAAGAACAAGAUUACAGAAGCUGAAAUACUACCACCUUAAAGAAAGAGGGCACUUGAUAAAGUACCAGGGAAGCGUUACAGGGUGAAGGUUGUUGAAACAAUCCUUGAUUUAGAUGUAACCAAGAAUAAAGAAACUAUAACCAAUAUUACAAGUUUUUACAACUUUAGAUUUGAGAGCAGUCAUUUGAGGAUGUGGCAAACAUACAAUAUUGAUGAAGGAAAGCUUGUGACUUUAAAAUCAACAAAGAAUUCUGUGCAGUUAAAAGUACUCAAUGACUGGACAGAGAUGUCUUUUAAUGACCUCAUUACUGAAGGAACAGAACAGGCUUCAAAACAACAGAAGCAGACAUUCAUUUGUUCUAUGGAUGGCUGCAUUAAAGAGUUCAAGAACCAGAUUAGUCUUGAUCAACACCUCCUUCAAGGCAGCUGUGAAUAUAAGCUAGAGGAAGGCCCAUUAAAAGAUCAGGCAAAAGUUCUAUAUGCCCAAAAGCUGUCAAAUAAUGUACAUCAUUGUCCUGAUAUGCAAGCAGUCUUACUAGAAAAUGCAUUUACUACAGACUUGAGUGCCAAAGAAAUGUGAUGGGCAUUGAAAGUGAAAAAGAAAAAGAUUUUCUUUAGCAUCAAACAGAAAGAAUUCAUGACGGAUUUAUUUUAUUUAUCUUGAAAGGAUGCAAGAAGCAGCCAUAUUGGAUUCAACGACAUUAUAUUUUCCCAAUAAACAGGCGAAAUAGAAAA
Long non-coding RNA from Mytilus californianus (California mussel), 1089 nucleotides. RefSeq lists it as uncharacterized. The transcript has 5 exons. The record is from RefSeq and is a predicted model, not a curated record. Lineage: Eukaryota; Metazoa; Mollusca; Bivalvia; Mytilida; Mytilidae.